Molecule: non-coding RNA, 73 nt
Organism: Trichonephila clavata
Lineage: Eukaryota; Metazoa; Arthropoda; Arachnida; Araneae; Nephilidae
Source: the annotation of a GenBank genome assembly
AUCUCUGAAGCGCAAUAUAUAGCGCGUUGGACCUCUAAUCUAAAGGUCGUGGGUUCGAAUUCCACCUAGGAUG